This 391-nucleotide ribosomal RNA is filed under the name Brevundimonas sp. BAS215i. RNAcentral's name for it is "bacterial SSU rRNA". It matches the Rfam family "Bacterial small subunit ribosomal RNA", at positions 25 to 444 of the family's 1533-position model. Lineage: Bacteria; Pseudomonadati; Pseudomonadota; Alphaproteobacteria; Caulobacterales; Caulobacteraceae. The record is from RNAcentral.
CAGAGCGAACGCUGGCGGCAGGCCUAACACAUGCAAGUCGAACGAACUCUUCGGAGUUAGUGGCGGACGGGUGAGUAACACGUGGGAACGUGCCUUUAGGUUCGGAAUAACUCAGGGAAACUUGUGCUAAUACCGAAUGUGCCCUUCGGGGGAAAGAUUUAUCGCCUUUAGAGCGGCCCGCGUCUGAUUAGCUAGUUGGUGAGGUAAAGGCUCACCAAGGCGACGAUCAGUAGCUGGUCUGAGAGGAUGAUCAGCCACAUUGGGACUGAGACACGGCCCAAACUCCUACGGGAGGCAGCAGUGGGGAAUCUUGCGCAAUGGGCGAAAGCCUGACGCAGCCAUGCCGCGUGAAUGAUGAAGGUCUUAGGAUUGUAAAAUUCUUUCAGUAGGG